This 435-nucleotide ribosomal RNA is filed under the name uncultured bacterium. RNAcentral describes it as "partial 16S ribosomal RNA". It matches the Rfam family "Bacterial small subunit ribosomal RNA", at positions 29 to 507 of the family's 1533-position model. The record is from RNAcentral.
AGCGAACGCUGGCGGCAGGCUUAACACAUGCGAGUCGAGCGGGCACUUUCGGGUGUCAGCGGCGGACGGGUGAGUAACGCGUGGGAACGUGCCCUCUGGUUCGGAAUAACUCAGGGAAACUUGAGCUAAUACCGGAUACGCCCUUUUGGGGAAAGGCUUGCUGCCGGAGGAUCGGCCCGCGUCUGAUUAGCUAGUUGGUGAGGUAACGGCUCACCAAGGCGACGAUCAGUAGCUGGUCUGAGAGGAUGAUCAGCCACACUGGGACUGAGACACGGCCCAGACUCCUACGGGAGGCAGCAGUGGGGAAUAUUGGACAAUGGGCGCAAGCCUGAUCCAGCCAUGCCGCGUGAGUGAUGAAGGCCUUAGGGUUGUAAAGCUCUUUUAUCCGGGACGAUGAUGACGGUACCGGAGGAAUAAGCCCCGGCUAACUUCGUG